Long non-coding RNA from Mus musculus (house mouse), 1061 nucleotides. RefSeq annotates it as RIKEN cDNA 4933432I03 gene. The transcript is spliced from 3 exons. Lineage: Eukaryota; Metazoa; Chordata; Mammalia; Rodentia; Muridae. The record is from RefSeq and is marked validated.
CCCCAAAUCCCUUCUUGCUGCUCAAGCGCAAUGUGGAGGAAGAACUACCAUCUGUCCUAGAGUGCCUGCUUCUGACUGGGUUUGCAGAAAAUAACUGAGUCUCCAGACUACAAAGUGAAGAAUAGGGACCAAUGAAUGAAUGCCUGGCUAUAAAACCAUCUGGGGUGCAGUCAGUUCGGCACAGUGUUUUGUGAGACCUGUUUGAGGAUACUCAGACGUCUGAUAAUCCAUCAGAAUUAUUAUUCUACCUUCAAGAAAGUUUUAUGAGCCCCAGAAGACCAGUGGAUGCUGCUUGUAUUUGAAGACCAGAACUUGGAUCUCAGCAGUUUCACAGACCCACUUUAUCCUUGUCUGGAGUUAAUGAGAUCAGAAUAAAAUCAAGUAAACACUCCCAGAGUUCAGUGCUUUGCAGGCUAUGGUGAUACAGGAGUGCACCAGAAAGAAAUCACAUUGUCAUACAAGACAGAGCUGGGACGAUGGUGUCUCUUCUCUACCUGUGGGUCUAGAUAAUCUUAGCAGAGGUGGACUGUUUCAUGGGUAGAGGAGUGAAAGCCAAGGACCUAACUCCUAAUCCUAUCCACAGGGGCUACACUGGAAACCAAACUGUAGAGCACCAACACCCAGGUUUUCGAACACCCCACGGCCUCCGGCAAAGCUCUGGAGUUGCACUAAGAUUGUUCCAAGUUGCCUAUGCCUGCCCCUUUGCCUUGAGUUUCUCAUCUGCAAAAUAAUAGAAAUGACAGCUUAGUACAAAUAAAGCAAGCAGAGUCUAAAGCCAGACGCCCAGGUUCAAAUCUCAGUGUAAUUACUUAUGUGUUGUGUGAUCCAGGAAAAAGCCUCUUUCUGUUUUAACUGUUUAUUAUCCCCCAGUUGGGUUCUCACGGUGCUAAAAUAGAAUAGAGCUACUGUAGCAAUUCAAUGAGCCCAUGUCUGCAUUGCUACAUAGGUCUGAUAUGUGUGUGUGGUAAGGGCUAGUGAGAUACUAUUGUAUCAAUGUUUUCUGGGAAAGUCUUAAAUAUCGCUUGUAAAGACACAAAUGAAAAAUUAAAAUCAAUUACCUG